Long non-coding RNA from Mauremys mutica (yellowpond turtle), 1574 nucleotides. RefSeq lists it as uncharacterized. The record is from RefSeq and is a predicted model, not a curated record. Lineage: Eukaryota; Metazoa; Chordata; Testudines; Geoemydidae. The transcript has 4 exons.
AAGAAACGGAAGCACAGUCUGCUGUUACAAAAGGAUGUACAGAGCCCUUCCCAAAAUGCAAUAGAUUCAAGUCCAACAGGUAGUCCAGAAUAGCUGAAAGCAACAAGGAUUCAGACACAAGUCAGUGGCACUGACACCAAUGGUUGACUCUAUUCCACUUCUGCAGGUUAAUAAUUUGGGUUGACUCCUUUCUACUAUUCAGUAACAUUUAUUGUAGUUCCACAAAACAGGUAGAUUCUAAUCAAACCAAAGAUUACGGAACCAUGCCCUGAGAUGGAGGAUCCUUAGGUUGGGAUGAAGUAAAUGACCCUUAUCUGGGGAGAGGAGAUGAGGAAUGAUAAGAAGUUUGGUUGCUGUGUGGAUGCACAGCUGAAGCAGGUAAAGAUACCAAGUUUGUCUCGGCCUGAUCGGUACUAUAAGGAUAACGCGGACUUGGUCAUGUCUGAUCCUGUUCAUUAGUCUCUGUAUUUGCAGUGUUGAAGGAAAUGCAUAGACUAGACCCUUCAUGCAAAAUAGGAGAAAGGUGUCUUCCAGAGACUGAUAGCUUAGAUCCCCUCUUGGAAAAAAAACAGACUAAAAUACUUCUUGUUCCUGGUGGCAGCAAAGAGAUCCACACCUGGUAGUCCCAAUUCUAGAAUAUACGGUUGUGGAAGUACAGAAAAGGAUAAAGGGAAUUUGAACCUAGAUAUCUUGACUUCUAGGAAUAAAGUAAGAGUCAGGCUAACAAUAGCUCUAAUAAUGCGUGAUUUCAGGCAGGGCCUGGACAAGUGGAAAGCGAGUGGAACAAAAAAGUGUAAGAGAUACUGUUUUUCGACCUUGUGUUAGAUAAAAAUGGAAUACAGACUGUAGCAGGAACUGCUGAGAAAAGUAAGAUAUCAGAAGGAAUAUGUAUAAACAAGAUGCAGUUGUUGAUCAUUACUGUCUGUAACAAAAGGUACAAAUGCUUACCCUAAUUGUUUAUCUAAUGGAGACCUACCUAGGGAGGGGAAUCCCUGCCCGUGUGCACUCUCCCAUGCAAUUGCUCGUAAUAAAGCUGCCUCUGGCUUGUUGCUUCAAACUCAGAGUGAGGACAUUGUUUUCUUCCACAAUUUUGGUGCUGUGACUCGGAUGGCAACGCCCAGCUGAGACAGCGACAACUACUACGGACCAUUCCCCUUCGAACCCCAAGGCUCCAAUCAAGAUCAGAUGCAGAGCGGUUCUGAGGAAUUUGUUGCCGCCCUUGCUGAGGGCAUCGGCUGUGGUGUUCUGAACUCCAGGGAGGGAUCAGAGUGGAUUUUCUUACACUGAGCUGAAGACCUAAUUCCAGGAAAAGAGAAAGUGACGUCCGAGCAGAUGACAGUAUUACUUUGUAAGCCUGAUGCUUGAGCAGCCAGUCGUUGAGCUUUCAGCCAUCAAAGGGGAGGCAUUCUACAGUGUUCUGAACCUCUCUUAAGAAACCCUGAGAGUUGGAGCCAUGACGCCCUGUGCAUAACUACAACAGCAGAGAUGGAGCUGGCAUUGGUGUAUGUAGCAUCCAAGAAUGCUUGAGGAGAAGUUCUAGCUAAUAACUGACCCUCUGCAACGAUGGCAUGAAA